RNAcentral lists this ribosomal RNA (406 nucleotides) under uncultured bacterium. RNAcentral's name for it is "partial 16S ribosomal RNA". It matches the Rfam family "Bacterial small subunit ribosomal RNA", at positions 30 to 526 of the family's 1533-position model. The record is from RNAcentral.
AUUGAACGCUUGCGGCAGGCCUAACACAUGCAAGUCGAACGAGUGGCGGACGGGUGAGUAAUGUCUGGGAAACUGCCCGAUGGAGGGGGAUAACUACUGGAAACGGUAGAUAAUACCGCAUACCAUCGGAUUUGCCCAGAUGGGAUUAGCUAGUAGGUGGGGUAAGGGCUCCCCUGGGCGACGAUCCCUGGCUGGUCUGAGAGGAUGACAAGCCACACUGGAACUGAGCCACGGUCCAGACUCCGACGGUAGGCAGAAGUGGGGAAUAUUGCACAAUGGGCGCAAGCCUGAUGCAGCCAUGCCGCGUGUAUGAAGAAGGCCUUCGGGUUGUAAAGUACUUUCAGCGGGGAGGCGUUACCCGCAGAAGAAGCACCGGCUAACUCCGUGCCAGCCGCCGCGGUAAUAC